GAUGAACGCUGGCGGCGUGCCUAAUACAUGCAAGUCGAGCGAACAGACGAGGAGCUUGCUCCUCUGACGUUAGCGGCGGACGGGUGAGUAACACGUGGAUAACCUACCUAUAAGACUGGGAUAACUUCGGGAAACCGGAGCUAAUACCGGAUAAUAUAUUGAACCGCAUGGUUCAAUAGUGAAAGACGGUUUUGCUGUCACUUAUAGAUGGAUCCGCGCCGCAUUAGCUAGUUGGUAAGGUAACGGCUUACCAAGGCAACGAUGCGUAGCCGACCUGAGAGCGUGAUCGGCCACACUGGAGCUGAGACACGGUCCAGACUCCUACGGGAGGCAGCAGUAGGGAAUCUUCCGCAAUGGGCGAAAGCCUGACGGAGAAACGCCGCGUGCGUGAUGAAGGUCUUCGGAUCGUAAAACUCUGUUAUUAGGGAAGAACAAAUGUGUAAGUAACUAUGCACGUCUUGACGGUACCUAAUCAGAAAGCCACGGCUAACUACGUG
Molecule: ribosomal RNA, 497 nt
Filed under: uncultured bacterium
Lineage: Bacteria
Description: partial 16S ribosomal RNA
Rfam family: Bacterial small subunit ribosomal RNA
Source: RNAcentral